Molecule: ribosomal RNA, 156 nt
Filed under: uncultured Malassezia
Lineage: Eukaryota; Fungi; Basidiomycota; Malasseziomycetes; Malasseziales; Malasseziaceae
Description: 5.8S ribosomal RNA
Rfam family: 5.8S ribosomal RNA
About the family: 5.8S ribosomal RNA (5.8S rRNA) is a component of the large subunit of the eukaryotic ribosome. It is transcribed by RNA polymerase I as part of the 45S precursor that also contains 18S and 28S rRNA.
Source: RNAcentral
CAACUUUCGACAACGGAUCUCUUGGUUCUCCCAUCGAUGAAGAACGCAGCGAAACGCGAUAGGUAAUGUGAAUUGGAGAAUUCCGUGAAUCAUCGAAUCUUUGAAGGCACCUUGCGCUCGAUGGCAAUCCGUACAGCAUGCCUGUUUGAGUGCCAU